GGUCCUGAUUGAGGUCCCCCACAUCCUGGUGCAAACCCUGCUCUACGGACUGCUGGUCUACAGCAUGAUCGGCUUCGACUGGACGGCGGCCAAGUUCCUUUGGUACAUGUUCUUCAUGUUCUUCACGUUCCUCUACUUCACCUACUACGGCAUGAUGGCCGUCGCCAUGACGCCCAAUAGCGACAUCGCUGCCAUCGUCGCCGCCGCCUUCUACGCCAUCUGGAACAUCUUCGCCGGCUUCAUCAUCCCCCGACCCGUAAGGCCCCCGUCGCUCUCCCCUCCCUCGUCCCAUCUUCGCUGGCUUCAUCCUCUUCUGUGCGCCUUACCGAGUUAUAUGAUGAUGGCGGCUCUGCAGAGGAUCCCCAUCUGGUGGCGAUGGUACUACUGGGCGUGCCCCGUGGCGUGGACCCUCUACGGCCUGGUGGUGUCGCAGUUCGGGGAGUACACGGACACGAUGAGCGACGUCGAUGAGACGGUGAAGGACUUCCUGAGGAGGUUCUUAGGGUUCCGGCACGACUUCCUGCCCGUGGUGGGCGUCAUGGUGGUCGUCUUCACCGUGCUCUUCGCCUCCAUCUUCGCCUUCUCCAUCAAGACCCUCAACUUCCAGAGACGGUGACGGGCUCCUCCCUCCAGAUCGCGCCUUUUCCGGCGAUCACCUUGAAUUCUCCCGCAGACGGAUCGGCAGGAUACCACCACGUUCUUCUUGUGCCUAUUUUUCUUCCUUUUUCAUAUAUAUUCGUUGGACAGAACCUGUAAUGCAUUCUUAGCACAGGAGUAUCUGAUUGAGAAAGUCUCCCCGUGUGAGAUCGUCUUCUUCCUCCCUUGCCCCCCAUGAAUGAGGUGGUCCUUGAAGAGUGGCGACCCACCCGUUGACAGGCCUGGCUCCGGUGCCGGCGGAGAGG
This 902-nucleotide long non-coding RNA is filed under the name Spirodela polyrhiza (greater duckweed). Its description in RNAcentral is "long non-coding RNA (SPOL_LNC000759)". The record is from RNAcentral. Lineage: Eukaryota; Viridiplantae; Streptophyta; Magnoliopsida; Alismatales; Araceae.